GAUGAACGCUGGCGGCGUGCCUAAUACAUGCAAGUCGAGCGAACAGAUAAGGAGCUUGCUCCUUUGACGUUAGCGGCGGACGGGUGAGUAACACGUGGGUAACCUACCUAUAAGACUGGAAUAACUCCGGGAAACCGGGGCUAAUGCCGGAUAACAUUUAGAACCGCAUGGUUCUAAAGUGAAAGAUGGUUUUGCUAUCACUUAUAGAUGGACCCGCGCCGUAUUAGCUAGUUGGUAAGGUAACGGCUUACCAAGGCAACGAUACGUAGCCGACCUGAGAGGGUGAUCGGCCACACUGGAACUGAGACACGGUCCAGACUCCUACGGGAGGCAGCAGUAGGGAAUCUUCCGCAAUGGGCGAAAGCCUGACGGAGCAACGCCGCGUGAGUGAUGAAGGUCUUCGGAUCGUAAAACUCUGUUAUUAGGGAAGAACAAAUGUGUAAGUAACUGUGCACGUCUUGACGGUACCUAAUCAGAAAGCCACGGCUAACUACGU
Molecule: ribosomal RNA, 496 nt
Filed under: uncultured bacterium
Lineage: Bacteria
Description: partial 16S ribosomal RNA
Rfam family: Bacterial small subunit ribosomal RNA
Source: RNAcentral